UAGGGAAUCUUGCGCAAUGGGCGAAAGCCUGACGCAGCGACGCCGCGUGCGGGAAGAAGGCCUUCGGGUUGUAAACCGCUUUCAGGAGGGAAGAAGCCGCUCGGGUUAACAGCCUAGAGGGUGACGGUACCUCCAGAAGAAGCCCCGGCUAACUACGUGCCAGCAGCCGCGGUAAUACGUAGGGGGCAAGCGUUGUCCGGAUUCAUUGGGCGUAAAGAGCGUGUAGGCGGCCAGGUAGGUCGGUUGUGAAAACUGGAGGCUCAACCUUCAGAGGUCGAUCGAAACCAUCUGGCUAGAGUCCGGGAGAGGAGAGUGGAAUUCCUGGUGUAGCGGUGAAAUGCGCAGAUAUCAGGAAGAACACCCGUGGCGAAAGCGGCUCUCUGGAACGGUACUGACGCUGAGACGCGAAAGCGUGGGGAGCGAACAG
This 427-nucleotide ribosomal RNA is filed under the name uncultured bacterium. Its description in RNAcentral is "bacterial SSU rRNA". It matches the Rfam family "Bacterial small subunit ribosomal RNA", at positions 355 to 775 of the family's 1533-position model. The record is from RNAcentral.